UAAAGAGUAGUGUAAUGGAUGCACGAAGAGUUUUGAUCUCUUAAGCUGAGGUUCAACCCCUCUCUCUCUAA
RNAcentral lists this transfer RNA (71 nucleotides) under Cynoglossus trigrammus. Its description in RNAcentral is "tRNA-Gln". It matches the Rfam family "tRNA". Rfam says of the family: Transfer RNA (tRNA) molecules are approximately 80 nucleotides in length. Their secondary structure includes four short double-helical elements and three loops (D, anti-codon, and T loops). Further hydrogen bonds mediate the characteristic L-shaped molecular structure. tRNAs have two regions of fundamental functional importance: the anti-codon, which is responsible for specific mRNA codon recognition, and the 3' end, to which the tRNAs corresponding amino acid is attached (by aminoacyl-tRNA synthetases). tRNAs cope with the degeneracy of the genetic code in two manners: having more than one tRNA (with a specific anti-codon) for a particular amino acid; and 'wobble' base-pairing, i.e. permitting non-standard base-pairing at the 3rd anti-codon position. The record is from RNAcentral. Lineage: Eukaryota; Metazoa; Chordata; Actinopteri; Pleuronectiformes; Cynoglossidae.